Molecule: transfer RNA, 68 nt
Filed under: Marmota monax (woodchuck)
Lineage: Eukaryota; Metazoa; Chordata; Mammalia; Rodentia; Sciuridae
Description: tRNA.Ala
Source: RNAcentral
GUUGUUUAGCUCAGUGGCAGAGCACUUGCCUAGCACACAUGAGGGCCUGGGUUCCAUCCUUAGCAACA